RNAcentral lists this ribosomal RNA (253 nucleotides) under uncultured bacterium. RNAcentral describes it as "partial 16S ribosomal RNA". It matches the Rfam family "Bacterial small subunit ribosomal RNA", at positions 524 to 776 of the family's 1533-position model. The record is from RNAcentral.
UACGUAGGGGGCCAGCGUUGCUCGGAAUUACUGGGCGUAAAGGGUCCGUAGGCGGUGUAGCAAGUCGAUAGUGAAAUCUCUGGGCUUAACCCAGAGGCUGCUAACGAAACUGCUGUGCUAGAGUGUGAGAGAGGCGAGUGGAAUUACGGGUGUAGCGGUGAAAUGCGUAGAUAUGACACAGAACACCGAUUGCGAAGGCAGCUCGCUAAACUGUAACUGACACUGAGGCACGAAAGCGUGGGGAUCAAACAGG